CUGACAGGAGAUAAAGGAUACCAUCUUGAUGCCACAUACCACAGGGCACCUUCAUUGGUCUUGAUGAGUCCAGGCCUUGGUGGGUUGGAGCAGUUUUGGUGGCACAUGGAGGACCAAGAGCGCGUUAGACAACACAUCCCAGGAAGCCCUGCUUCUUCAGCCAUACUUAGCAGGAAGAGGAGGCUGGUGUCCCUUCAGUGCACAGACCCACAGAACAACCAUCUGCAGAAACUGAAGUUUUAGCCAAUAGCAACACAAAGAAGCGCUGUGAGAUGGACAGGACACAACACACAUGCAUCAUAUGCAAGUGUCACGAUUGGCCCCUCCCAGUCCUCCGUGUGCUUGUGUUUACCUUUUGGUCUUGUCCAUGUGUUUCCU
Pygocentrus nattereri (red-bellied piranha) is the source of this 378-nucleotide long non-coding RNA. RefSeq lists it as uncharacterized. Lineage: Eukaryota; Metazoa; Chordata; Actinopteri; Characiformes; Serrasalmidae. The record is from RefSeq and is a predicted model, not a curated record. The transcript is spliced from 3 exons.